RNAcentral lists this unclassified non-coding RNA (343 nucleotides) under fungal sp. RNAcentral's name for it is "partial internal transcribed spacer region". The stretch from base 1 to 46 matches the Rfam family "Eukaryotic small subunit ribosomal RNA", at positions 1786 to 1831 of the family's 1831-position model. Lineage: Eukaryota; Fungi. The record is from RNAcentral.
AAGUCGUAACAAGGUAACCGUAGGUGAACCUGCGGUUGGAUCAUUAAAAAUCUAACUUUUGAGGCUAGCAUCUCUUGACUCUUUUGGGGUCUAGGAUCUAGUUUUCAUCAACCCACCUUUGUGAACUGUUUUCUGUAUUUUGGACGUGGGUUAGUGUUAGUCGUAAGACAAAAGCACUUGGAAGCGGGCCUUUGGGCUCGACCCGUCCAACGGGACUUGAGAUCUCGAUCUCCUGGCCCAACCCUUUAAGCCUAUAAUUUUGAAAAACUUUGUCUAGAAUUUUUUGAAUCUAUUUUAAGAUAAAAAAAAAAAACAACUUUUGACAACGGAUCUCUAGGCUCUC